UUCCGCAAUGGGCGAAAGCCUGACGGAGCAACGCCGCGUGAGGGAUGAAGGCCUCUGGGCUGUAAACCUCUUUUCUCAAGGAAGAAGACCUGACGGUACUUGAGGAAUAAGCCACGGCUAAUUCCGUGCCAGCAGCCGCGGUAAUACGGGAGUGGCAAGCGUUAUCCGGAAUUAUUGGGCGUAAAGCGUCCGCAGGCGGCCUUUUAAGUCUGUUGUCAAAGCGUGGAGCUUAACUCCAUUUGAGCAAUGGAAACUGGGAGGCUUGAGUGUGGUAGGGGCAGAGGGAAUUCCCGGUGUAGCGGUGAAAUGCGUAGAUAUCGGGAAGAACACCAGUGGCGAAGGCGCUCUGCUGGGCCAUCACUGACGCUCAUGGACGAAAGCCAGGGGAGCGAAAGGGAUUAGAUACCCCUGUAGUCCUGGCCGUAAACGAUGAACACUAGGUGUCGGGGGAAUCGACCCCCUCGGUGUCGUAGCCAACGCGUUAAGUGUUCCGCCUGGGGAGUACGCACGCAAGUGUGAAACUCAAAGGAAUUGACGGGGGCCCGCACAAGCGGUGGAGUAUGUGGUUUAAUUCGAUGCAACGCGAAGAACCUUACCAGGGUUUGACAUCCUGCGAAUCCCUUGGAAACUAGGGAGUGCCUUCGGGAACGCAGAGACAGGUGGUGCAUGGCUGUCGUCAGCUCGUGUCGUGAGAUGUUGGGUUAAGUCCCGCAACGAGCGCAACCCACGUCUUUAGUUGCCAGCAUUAAGUUGGGCACUCUAGAGAGACCGCCGGUGAUAAACCGGAGGAAGGUGUGGAUGACGUCAAGUCAUCAUGCCCCUUACAUCCUGGGCUACACACGUACUACAAUGCUACGGACAGAGGGCAGCAAACUCGCGAGAGCUAGCAAAUCCCAUAAACCGUGGCUCAGUUCAGAUCGUAGGCUGCAACUCGCC
This 936-nucleotide ribosomal RNA is filed under the name Synechococcus sp. G4.1. RNAcentral describes it as "bacterial SSU rRNA". It matches the Rfam family "Bacterial small subunit ribosomal RNA", at positions 364 to 1316 of the family's 1533-position model. The record is from RNAcentral. Lineage: Bacteria; Bacillati; Cyanobacteriota; Cyanophyceae; Synechococcales; Synechococcaceae.